Long non-coding RNA from Eurytemora carolleeae, 313 nucleotides. RefSeq lists it as uncharacterized. The record is from RefSeq and is a predicted model, not a curated record. The transcript is spliced from 2 exons. Lineage: Eukaryota; Metazoa; Arthropoda; Copepoda; Calanoida; Temoridae.
GUAAUAUGAAUAAGAAAUUGGCCAUAAGUCUGUUUUACUUUAAAUUCACAAAAUACUACAUUAAGAAAAGUUUUAUAUUGCGUUUCUUCUCUUUAUAAGUUUUUAAGUAUUCCUCGUUGCUCAUUAAAUGUAAUAUUAAAGAUUGUAUUAGUUCAGUAAUAGGUGGUGGUGUUGUAAUAGUGGAAGAUAUACUAGAAAACCUCUAAAUUUAUAUACGCAAAGUGUGUACUGUACUCCCCAAGCCAGAAAGUUAAAAGAGUACCGAGUUUCCUUAUUGGGGUCUAUUUAUUUGCGUAGAUUUUAAUUUUAGAAA